UGGAUCGAUGAUGACUACUGGUGGCGUCUGAGUCGUGUACGAUGAAUACGUGUCUGGAGCUCUGAGGUCCGA
RNAcentral lists this small nucleolar RNA (72 nucleotides) under Balaenoptera musculus (blue whale). Its description in RNAcentral is "Small nucleolar RNA SNORD113/SNORD114 family (ENSBMSG00010004440.1)". It matches the Rfam family "Small nucleolar RNA SNORD113/SNORD114 family". Rfam says of the family: The imprinted human domain at 14q32 contains two clusters of tandemly repeated small nucleolar RNAs named 14q(I) and 14q(II) snoRNAs. These two clusters are named SNORD113 and SNORD114 respectively in the HGNC approved gene symbol nomenclature. Lineage: Eukaryota; Metazoa; Chordata; Mammalia; Artiodactyla; Balaenopteridae. The record is from Rfam by way of RNAcentral.